RNAcentral lists this long non-coding RNA (4049 nucleotides) under Homo sapiens (human). RNAcentral's name for it is "HSALNT0229400". Lineage: Eukaryota; Metazoa; Chordata; Mammalia; Primates; Hominidae. The record is from RNAcentral.
CUGAGACUCCAGCAGGAGGUGGUCAGAAAAGAGAGAUAUUUCUGCUGACAGAGGGGGAACAGUGGGGCUGCAGCCUGAGAUGUCACUCAUGAGGGACGCAAAGGUAGCCCCAGCCCCAGGGAAGUGGGGUAGGGAGAGACUUCACUUUCUGUCAUCUGCUACUGACCCUGCCCCCCCAUUGCCUCGACUUCCCCAGCUGCAUUGAAUUUCCCAUUCCAAACUCAUCCCCCCAGUUCUUCCCGGAGCCCUCUUCCAUCCCCGGCCUCACCUGUCCCUUUCCUCACACCCCCCUUCCUGCCUCAUCUGCCCGGAGCCUGUUUCCAUUGCCGCAGUCUCCUUCCUCCUCACCCCAUUUGCUGAAGCAGUGGCAGAGAUACCCCAAGCCUUUGGGGGACUGAUGAAGGGAGAACAUCUUUUGGGGGCUAGAGGAAGUGAGUGGCUCCUAGAGGGACAAGGGGAAGUGAGGGGAGAGAGUCAAGGGGACAGGGCCGAAGAUGGUAACCCUACCCUAGGGAGGGGUUGCCACAGCCAUCAACAAGGGAUUUAGUGUCCAGGCCCUGGUGAGCAAAGCCAGCACUGCCUGUCUCUCCCCAAAACUGCCCCCCCCCUUCCCCAUCGCUCUAACUCAGCCUCUGGGAACAGAGCCCUGAGGGCCCCCCCAUCCUGGAUAGGGAAUCCCCACCCCACCCCCAAGAAAAUGGGACACCAAGGCAGCCAAGUAACCCAAGAGGCUACAGAAUGUGCUGAUGGCAGAGGGGGAGGGGUAACUGUCUCAGGAUGGGGGCAGGGGUCACCCCAAGUCGUGCACUGAGGGUCACCUCAUCCCACACUGUGCUCUAACCAACGGGGUUUCUGUGGCCAGCCCCAGAGGCCUGUGGUCUGCGCUGCACUCUGCCCUGCUGCAUCUGUCCACGAGGGGAACAGGAUCAGGCCCAUGCUGUGUGCGUGCAGGAGCUAGGCAGACCCCACAGAAAGGUGUCGGGGCCUGGGGAAGCUGGACCAAGCAGGGGCUCCAGACCAAAGGAAUGGGGAAGGGUGGACUUCUGGGGACAGGUCUGGGGGAAAUAAGGACAGAUGUCUAGACCUAGGGGGAAAGGGAGCAGAGACACAGAGCCACCAGGGUCAGAGGGAAGUCCGAGCAGCAGUGGGGAAGAGGGACAGCAGGGAGCCAGGUGGGCGGGGACCCCGGCGCUGGGUGCAAAGCCACAAGUUGUUGCUGAAUGCUGGCCUUGGUGUCAGCUUCCUCAGAGAAGCAGCUGCUCUGAGCUGCCCCUCCCCACCCCUGCUCCAGGAUGGGGGCGUCUCUUGGUUACCACCAGGGCUGGAUGAGAGUCAGGGUGAAAGGUCAGUGAGGGGAAGGGGCCUGGUGCCCUGGGCUCAAGUCCGUCCUCUGUCUAGGCCUGUUUCCUGAAAUGAGCAGAGGCAUGUGGACUUCCUAAGUGUGGCUUCUUAAGGCUGCUUUCCAUUCUGGGGCUCAAACUCCGAAGCAGAGGACAGAAUAGGAGACAGCAGAGCAAAGAAAAGGGAGGCCCCCACUUUUGGGGAGGGGGAUGGCAGCAGGGGUGGAUGGAACUUGAGGGUUCAGCCUCCCAGAUGCAUCCCUUCUGCCUGGACUUGGGUGAGGCGCGGCCUCCUGGGUGAGUUGAGGACAAGGUGCUCCUUCCUGCCUCCUUUUCACAGUUCCAACAAACCCCUCCCCUGAAGCAGAAUCCUGCUGUGACCUGAGGGGAGUGGGGGACAGUGGGCUGAAUUGGGGGUGCAGGAGAGCAUUAGCAGCCUCUCUUCCAAGAGACACAGCCCCCGGCACCUCCACCCGGCCCAGCACCCACCGUCUCCGCUGGACUCAGGCUCACACCCGCCAAGGCUUUUGGCGCUGGCCGGCGUCUCCCCACCGGCACCUGGAGGAGUGACAGGGGCUACUGUCUUACAGCAGUGGGAAUGCCCAAACAUGGAGAGGGGCAGACGGAGAGAUGGGCAGCUUCGAGGGAGUCGAGAGCCUGAGACAGAGGGCAGGGGGCAGGCUUGGCAGCACAUUCCUGCCAACAGGCCUUUAAGGUUAUUCAUUUCUACCUCCCCCGGCUUCCCAGAGGGGGAAACAAGCCAGGGAGGGAAAGCCACCCGCCAGGAGCUGCAGAAGGGCUGCUCUAGGGAAGGCUGUGGGUGUGAACUGCCAUGGAGGGAGGCUGAGCCAGAGGCGCCCUCGGGGAUCCCUUCCCACAGGGGUCUCCACGCCCAGGGAUGGAAAGUGAUCCUCCUGUCACACCUGAGGGCUGGAGCUAAAAGCAUGGGACACAGAGACACCCUGGCCAGUCCCUGAUGAGUGCAGAACUUCGGUUUAACCAUCUGUAAAGAAAGGCUUAGAGGGAAAGUCUCUCAGGCCCUGCUUACCUCGGGGCACCACAGCCUUCACUGGCCAUCUCACUAAGAACCCAGCACCCGGCUCUCCAAAGCUUCCCCCACUUUCAAGGCCGGUCCUAUCCCCAGUCUCCUGAGGCCAAGGUUUGGGGAGCCCCAGAAAUUAGAGCAAGCAGGAGAGCCAGCAGGCUUCCCUCGGCUAGCCCCCCGCCUGGGUGGCCUGGAAGCCCAGCUGUCUCCUGUCCAUCUCCCUACAGGACACAAGGCCCAGAAUAGCAAGGUCAUGAGCGUGGGUAGGGCCUCCUGGAGGUGGGGGCUGAAGCUGAGGGGCAUGAGGGUGUGGGCUCCUUGCUGCCUGGGCGGGGAGUGAGGCAGGAUGCUGAAAGGCGGAGCUGGACAGUGGGGAAGGGAGAAGGCCGAGCUCAGCGGGUGGGAUUCUUCAGCCCCAGGCCCCUCCUUGUUGGCACCCACUACCCCCAGAGCUGGGAAGCCCAGGGGUGCCCUCUGUUGGAGGGCACAGCCACAGAUCAGGAAGACUGAUUCCAAGAGCAGAGCCUGUGUUUUACGGGGUGGAGGGGUGUGCCACAAUGGGGGUGGUGUUAUAAACUCAAAUGCCCACAGGGCCAGGCCCUCCCAGGGAGCAAAGUGAGCUGGUGGGGAUGGGGCAGAUGUGGAAGUGGACCCACAUCACUGGAUCUUCUGAUUUUUAAGAGAAGCCAGUGAUUUUUUUUUUUUUUUUUUUUUUUUUAGACAGAGUCUCGCUCUGUUGCCCAGGUUGGAGUGCAAUGGUGCGAUCUUGGCUCACAGCAACCUCCACCUCCUGGGCUCAAGCAAUUCUCCUACCUUAGCCUCCUGAGUAGCUGGUAUUACAGGCGCGCACCACCACACCCGGCUAAUUUUUUGUAUUUUUAGUAGAGACGGGGUUUCUCCACAUUGGUCAGCCUGGUCUCAAACUCCUGACCUCAGGUGAUCCACCCACGUCGGCCUCCCAAAGUGCUGGGAUUACAGGCGUGAGCCACCACACCUGGCCUGUGAUCUGAAUUUUUAAUGUGAAACUCAAAUGGACACCAUGUCCAGGCCAAGCAAACCAUGUCAGCAGCUCUGACUCAAGAUGAAACUUCACAUGUCACAGAUGAGGAUGCUCAGGCCCGGCGUGGCUACACCUUGCCCAGGCCAGUGAGUGGCAAGGCCAGGACAGAAGCUAGUGCCCUCUGCCAUCCCUCCAGCCUGGCUUUGAGAAGGGGGCCAUUGGGCCCCUCUGCGGCUACCCUGUGACUGCCACGUUCAAUCUCUUCCAGCACAGCCACCGUGCCUCCCAUCUCUCACUGCCAGCUCUCUCUAGGGUACAAAGCCAUAACUCAGGAAGGGCCGCUGGAGAUCACCAUGCCUGCCAUUCACAGCACUGUCCCAUGACAAAAACUCGCAGGAGACCCCAAGAGCAUCAUUUAGUGCUCCACGAACAAGGCUGUCAGACACAGGGAUGGCUCCGAAAGCACAGCACUGCAGAAUGAUGGGGACUGGCCUGGGCCAGCCCUCUGGCCUGUGGGCACUGAGUGGGCUGCCUUCCCAACCCAACUGUCCCCAGUCCCCACAGCAAACAAUGGCCAUAGCCAUCACGAUAGAACCGAGAUAAACCUUUUUAUUUAUUUAUGCUUCUCCAUUUUGUUUAAAACAACAACAACAACCACCUUAAU